GCACAAUGGAGGAAACUCUGAUGCAGCGAUGCCGCGUGAGUGAAGAAGGCCUUUGGGUUGUAAAGCUCUUUCGUCGGGGAAGAAAAUGACUGUACCCGAAUAAGAAGGUCCGGCUAACUUCGUGCCAGCAGCCGCGGUAAUACGAAGGGACCUAGCGUAGUUCGGAAUUACUGGGCUUAAAGAGUUCGUAGGUGGUUAAAAAAGUUGGUGGUGAAAGCCCAGAGCUUAACUCUGGAACUGCCAUCAAAACUUUUUAGCUAGAGUAUGAUAGAGGAAAGCAGAAUUUCUAGUGUAGAGGUGAAAUUCGUAGAUAUUAGAAAGAAUACCAAUUGCGAAGGCAGCUUUCUGGAUCAUUACUGACACUGAGGAACGAAAGCAUGGGUAGCGAAGAGGAUUAGAUACCCUCGUAGUCCAUGCCGUAAACGAUGUGUGUUAGAUGUUGGAAAUUUAUUUUCAGUGUCGCAGCGAAAGCAAUAAACACACCGCCUGGGGAGUACGACCGCAAGGUUA
Molecule: ribosomal RNA, 510 nt
Filed under: uncultured Alphaproteobacteria bacterium
Lineage: Bacteria; Pseudomonadati; Pseudomonadota; Alphaproteobacteria
Description: bacterial SSU rRNA
Rfam family: Bacterial small subunit ribosomal RNA
Source: RNAcentral